This 752-nucleotide ribosomal RNA is filed under the name Hypoxylon sp. genotype 206. RNAcentral describes it as "eukaryotic LSU rRNA". The stretch from base 166 to 752 matches the Rfam family "Eukaryotic large subunit ribosomal RNA", at positions 1 to 597 of the family's 3401-position model. Lineage: Eukaryota; Fungi; Ascomycota; Sordariomycetes; Xylariales; Hypoxylaceae. The record is from RNAcentral.
ACCCUUAAGCCCCUGUUGCUUAGCGUUGGGAGUCUACGGCUGCGGCGUAGUUCCCGAAAGUCAGUGGCGGAGUUGGGGCACACCCUCGGCGUAGUAAGUUUUCCCUCGCCUGCGUGGUGGCCCCGGCUGCUGGCCGUUAAACGACCCUUAUAUCUUUCUAGUGGUUGGCCUCGAAUUAGGUAGGAAUACCCGCUGAACUUAAGCAUAUCAAUAAGCGGAGGAAAAGAAACCAACAGGGAUUGCCCUAGUAACGGCGAGUGAAGCGGCAACAGCUCAAAUUUGAAAUCUGGCCCUCGCGGUCCGAGUUGUAAUUUGUAGAGGAUGCUUUAGGCGCGGCGCCUUCCGAGUUCCCUGGAACGGGACGCCGGAGAGGGUGAGAGCCCCGUACGGUUGGACGCCUAGCCUGCGUAUAGCUCCUUCGACGAGUCGAGUAGUUUGGGAAUGCUGCUCUAAACGGGAGGUAAAUUUCUUCUAAAGCUAAAUACCGGCCAGAGACCGAUAGCGCACAAGUAGAGUGAUCGAAAGAUGAAAAGCACUUUGAAAAGAGGGUUAAAUAGCACGUGAAAUUGUUGAAAGGGAAGCGUUUGCGACCAGACCUUUUCCGGGGGGAUCAGCCGGCGUUCUCGACGGUGCACUCCCUCCGGUUUAGGCCAGCAUCGGUUCCCUUAGGGGGAUAAAGGCCUGGGGAAAGUAGCUCCUCAGGGAGUGUUAUAGCCCCUCGCGUAAUACCCCUCGGGGGACCGAGGACCGCG